Pelobates cultripes (western spadefoot toad) is the source of this 400-nucleotide non-coding RNA. NCBI's taxonomy places the organism in Eukaryota, Metazoa, Chordata, Amphibia, Anura, Pelobatidae. The record is from the annotation of a GenBank genome assembly.
GUUCACAUACUUUUUCUUGCAACUGUAAUUUUCAAAAUGUUGCAUUUUAAAAUUGUAAUAUAAAUGUAAGAAUAAUUCCAUAAAUACUAUUUAAGCUGUUUUCCCUCUAGAUUCAGUAUCAGUGUUAUUUGGCUUCCCCUGCCGUGUUAGAGCUGUUUGAAGCAAACAGCAAGUGAUACACAGUGAAACAAACACAGCUUCUCUCAGAAAGGAGGAUUGCAAUAUUUUAUUUUUUAAACAAAAGGGGUAAAAAUAAAGUUACUUUAGCAGUAAAAUGUUGUUUUGAAAUUUUUACACAAGCUUUAGAAGAACAGCACGGAGUCUGCUUUUACCUUUCACUGAAAAUCAGACCCUUCAAGCUUCGUACAGCCGGAUGACCAUACGGCUUCUCCAUGUUCAC